GUUCGUAAGACGUUUUACACUUGUGGUUUUACAUUCAAUUCAUGUUGUCCCCAAUUCCCAAACUCCCCAAAAGAAAAAGUAUACACAAUUAAUUGAUCAUUACACAUACUAAAAUUUUGGCUGAAGAAAAAAGGAGGUGUAAUCUUUAAGAGUUUGGAAAUUAUUCAAUAUUGAAGGCUUAGGAAGACAAAUAAAUAUGGAGGUAAAACCAGCAGUUCCCGUGAGGGCCAUCCUUGUUGGAGGAAUUGCUGCAUUUGCAAAAAUAGGCGGUGCUGUUAAAGCUGCUGGAGGUAUAAAAGUAGGUGCAGCUGCAGCAACUGCUGCCAUUUCAGGAUCCAAGCAACAAGCAAAAACUGCUUCUCAGCACUCAUCAAAAUGAUGCUCUCUCUGAAGAAUGGUGUAGAGCUAGUGAUUCCCAUUUCAGCUAGUGAUCCUUUUCUUUCAAUAUAAUGUAUUUCAGUAAAAAUUAUAAGUUAUAGAAUAGUGAUGUUACUAGUUGGAUAGUAUACAGUUUUUGUCAUCACUUUGUUUUAUAGUACACUGGGAAUCAGGGAAUGUAUUCUGGCCUAUGAAUAAAGAAUAUUUGUGGCUUUACUGCAA
This is a non-coding RNA of Nicotiana tabacum (common tobacco), 600 nucleotides long. The record is from RefSeq and is a predicted model, not a curated record. NCBI's taxonomy places the organism in Eukaryota, Viridiplantae, Streptophyta, Magnoliopsida, Solanales, Solanaceae.